This 460-nucleotide ribosomal RNA is filed under the name uncultured bacterium. RNAcentral's name for it is "partial 16S ribosomal RNA". It matches the Rfam family "Bacterial small subunit ribosomal RNA", at positions 338 to 795 of the family's 1533-position model. The record is from RNAcentral.
CCUACGGGAGGCAGCAGUGAGGAAUAUUGGUCAAUGGACGAGAGUCUGAACCAGCCAAGUAGCGUGAAGGAUGACUGCCCUAUGGGUUGUAAACUUCUUUUAUAUGGGAAUAAAAUGUUCCACGUGUGGGCUUUUGUAUGUUCCAUAUGAAUAAGUAUCGGCUUACUCCGUUCCAGCAGCCGCCGUAAAACGGAGGAUCCGAUCGUUUUCCGGAUUUAUUGGGGUUAAAGGGGUCGUAGGUGGAAUGUUAACUCAGUUGUGAAAGUUUGCGGCUCAACCGUAAAAUUGCAGUUGAAACUGGCAGUCUUGAGUACAGUAGAGGUAGGCGGAAUGCGUGGUGUAGCGGUGAAAUGCAUAGAUAUCACGAAGAACUCCGAUUGCGAAGGCAGUACACUGGACUGCAACUGACACUGAGGCUCGAAAGUGUGGGUAUCGAACAGGAUUAGAUACCCCAGUAGUC